Molecule: ribosomal RNA, 78 nt
Filed under: Acanthosepion pharaonis
Lineage: Eukaryota; Metazoa; Mollusca; Cephalopoda; Sepiida; Sepiidae
Source: RNAcentral
CCGAUCACCGAAGUUAAGCAACGUCAAGCCUGAUCAGUACCUAGAUGGGUGACCACUUGGGAAUACCAGGUGUUGUAA